UUACCUCAGGUCAGAGAAGACUACCCGCUGGACUUAAGCAUAUCACUAAGCGGAGGAAAAGAAACUAACUAGGAUUCCCCCAGUAACUGCGAGUGAAGAGGGAAGAGCUCAUCAUUGGAAUCUGGCAGUGUUGCACUGUCCGAGUUGUAGAUGAGGAGUAGUCCGUCUGGACUGCAUGGCGUCCAAGUACAAUAGGCCGUCAGUGGGACAUCAUAGAGGGUGACAAUCCCGUCCUUGAUGCCAAUGUGCAAGUCCGUUACGAUGGCUAUCUCAGAGAGUCGAGCAGUUUGGGAUUUGCUGCUUAAACAUGGGAGGUAGAUUCCUUCUAAAGCUAAAUACAGGCGAGAGACCGAUAGAGAACAAGUACCGCAAGGGAAAGAUGAAAUAGAACUCUGUGAAGGGAGUCAAAAGGCGUGAAAUUGUUGCGAGAGAAGCGAUUCAAGUCAGCGUAGCUAGGCCCAUCAAGCGUCUUCGCUUUGGACUAGCUUUGCCAGCGGUCUUGUCCUUAGAGACUUGACUUUGUAUAUGUGUCCAGCCUGGUAUGCACAGGUAGCCCCUCUGGGGGCCAGUGGCACAGCUGGUGGAAUGGCUUGCAAUCGACCCGUCUUGAAACACGGACCAAGGAGUCUAACAUGUAUGCGAGUAUAAGGGUGGCAAACCCGUAUGCGCAAUGAAAGUGAUUUUCGGUGAUUGAGAAUGGCCUGAUGACCAGACAAGCAAUACAUGUCCCUCGGACGGCCAUUGCCCAAGUUCCGUGGUAGAUCCCAUGAACAUGGAGUUGGAGCAUACAUGCUAGGACCCGAAAGAUGGUGAACUAUGCCUGGACAAAGCGAAGCCAAAGGAAACUCUGGUGGAGGCUUGUAGCGAUUCUGACGUGCAAAUCGAUCGUCUGAUCUGGGUAUAGGGGCGAAAGACUAAUCGAACC
RNAcentral lists this ribosomal RNA (925 nucleotides) under Cantharellus vaginatus. Its description in RNAcentral is "partial large subunit ribosomal RNA". It matches the Rfam family "Eukaryotic large subunit ribosomal RNA", at positions 1 to 941 of the family's 3401-position model. The record is from RNAcentral. Lineage: Eukaryota; Fungi; Basidiomycota; Agaricomycetes; Cantharellales; Hydnaceae.